CUGGGUUUUGAUGAUUGCAUAUUUGUACAUUAAAAUACUUCUAACAGCCUCUAAGAAUAUUAUAUUUGUCAGUUUAAUGUAUUCAUUUGACAAUAUCAUAAUGUAUAAAAUAUAUUCAGCUAGCUUUAAAAAUUAAAAACAUCAUUGACCGCAGCUUUGUGUUCCAGACUGAUAUGCUGUUUUUUGGAAAUCGUUUACAUUUUAUUUAAAUACUUAAGCUAAAUAAACAAUAAAAA
Molecule: non-coding RNA, 236 nt
Organism: Cinara cedri
Lineage: Eukaryota; Metazoa; Arthropoda; Insecta; Hemiptera; Aphididae
Source: the annotation of a GenBank genome assembly